CUACGGGACGCAGCAGGCGCGAAAACUUUACAAUGCGGGAAACCGCGAUAAGGGGAUACUGAGUGCCAGCAUAUUAUGUUGGCUGUCCAUCUGUAUAAAUAGCAGGUGUUAGCAAGGGCCGGGCAAGACCGGUGCCAGCCGCCGCGGUAACACCGGCGGCCCGAGUGGUGGCCACUAUUAUUGGGUCUACAGGGUCCGUAGCCGGUUUGAUCAGUCUUCCGGGAAAUCUGACAGCUCAACUGUUAGGCUUCUGGGGGAUACUGUCAGACUUGGGACCGGGAGAGGUAAGAGGUACUACAGGGGUAGGAGUGAAAUCUUGUAAUCCUUGUGGGACCACCAGUGGCGAAGGCGUCUUACCAGAACGGGUCCGACGGUGAGGGACGAAAGCUGGGGGCACGAACCGGAUUAGAUACCCCGGUAGUC
RNAcentral lists this ribosomal RNA (423 nucleotides) under uncultured archaeon. RNAcentral's name for it is "partial 16S ribosomal RNA". It matches the Rfam family "Archaeal small subunit ribosomal RNA", at positions 323 to 746 of the family's 1478-position model. The record is from RNAcentral.